AUGGGCGGCGGCGCGGCGGACCAGGGCAAGACCAGAGAGGACCCUCGCGUAGAUCCGGGCAUCCUCGACCAACGUCGCCAUUCGUCUCCCCGUCUGCUGCCGUCGCGACAUGGCUUCCAAGAAAUGGCCUCGCUGCCGAUCCCCGACGAGCUCGUGGCGGAGAUCUUCCUCCGGCUGCCCACGCCAGCCGACGUCAUCCGCGCCUCUGGCGCCUGCGUAUCCUUCCGUCGCCUCGUCGCCGGCCGCCCCUUCCUCCGGCGCUUCCGCAAGCUCCACGACCCUCCCCUCCUCGGCUUCCUCGCUCUAACCGGAGCCUUCUUCCCCGUACUCCCGCCUUCUCCUUCCGCGUCGGCAGCCAGCGCCGUCGCCCUCGCCGCCGACUUCUCCUUCUCCUUCCUACCCGUCCCCGCUCGGGACUGGAAGGUCCGGGACGCCCGCGGCGGCCGCGUCCUCCUCAGCAGAUCUCCCUUGGAUAAUUCUCUGGCGGUGUGCGACCCCUUGCACCGGCGGUACCUCCUGCUUCCCCUGAUCCCUGAAGUUGAGGGGUGGGCUCCUCAUUCAUUUGAAAACCCACAGCGGCGGUCCUUCCUUCUCGAUGCGGAGGAGGCCGCAGGAGAGACAUCAUUCACAGUGAUCUGCAUCGCACAUUGGGGAGAUAACGAUAAGCAGGGCGCUUUCGUCUUCUCUUCCAGCACCGGACAAUGGCGAAGUACUCCAUGGAUUGCAGGCUUUGCUUCAUUCUCCGGGUACCGGCACGCAUAUGGCUGCUUCUACGGGGUGACAGCGUGCAGGGAGAAGUUGCUGGUGCUUGACACCCAGAGAAUGGAGUUCUCACUUGCUGACCUCCCACCCCAAGUGAGAGGUUCUUCAGAACAGAUUGCGGGUAUAUCCAUUGUGGAGGCAGGGGAAGGCGUCACUGGGAUGUUUGUGCUUCCAUAUUACACAUCUCACAUCAGUUAUCUAAUUAGGCGAAACAAUGGUGGGACUUCCAGCCAGUGGCAGUUGGAGAAGACAAUUCCACUGGUUUCUUCUUGGUACAGUUUCAUGGGUUCAACAGAGAGGCACUUCCUUCUUGUAUCACAGGGAGACACUUUCACAUUGGAUAUCAAAACAUUCCAACUUGAGAAGGUGGUUAGACGUGGCAUCAGUUCGCCAUGUGUAUAUAGAAACUUCCCACCAUCGUUGUUGUCGUCACCGACAAUAUCAAGUGGUGUUGAGACCGAGGAUGAUGAGAUGCUGGAAAAACGCCGUGCUUCAAGCUCAAGCCCAUAG
Molecule: ribosomal RNA, 1272 nt
Filed under: Triticum aestivum (bread wheat)
Lineage: Eukaryota; Viridiplantae; Streptophyta; Magnoliopsida; Poales; Poaceae
Description: partial small subunit ribosomal RNA
Source: RNAcentral